Cygnus olor (mute swan) is the source of this 615-nucleotide long non-coding RNA. RefSeq lists it as uncharacterized. Lineage: Eukaryota; Metazoa; Chordata; Aves; Anseriformes; Anatidae. The transcript is spliced from 2 exons. The record is from RefSeq and is a predicted model, not a curated record.
CCAUGGUUUAGCAGAUUUGAAUGGCAGGCAGCCUGAAUGAGGACUGUGCCGUUCUGCGGGGACAUUUUGCAUCUCACCGGACCAGGACCAGCUCGGCUGCACCGUCCUGACGCCGAUCCGCAACAGGCCAGAGCCCAGGGCACGGCAACGGGGCUGCACAGCGGGCUGCAGCGCGGUUACUCAGACUUUCCACCAGUUCAGAUGGGAAACGAGACGUGGCAGCAGCAAGAAGAGUUGGCCUUCCCCGCAUCCCUUCUGCAUUUGCACUUGCCUCGCUCAAAAACGCUUUUCUGUUCCUCUCUGAAGUCACAGAACCGCUGGCAGGGAAAGAUGCUCGGGACAGAAACGAGACCAAAACUUGGGUAAGAGACUGCUCGCCCACUGCCGCCUCCUCAGCUAGGGAGCUCGCUACAGGGACCUGCCUCCCAGACUGAACCAACCCGGGGAAGGAGGAAAUAGGGCUGCAAGAUCUGGAGAAGCAGAGAACAUUCCAGUGUCGCUCCCCAGUUUUAAACACUGCAGCUGCUGCUGGCCACCAGUGGCCACGUUCCUAGCUCCUGGCCUUCACCGGAUGAGUCUCAUUUAUAAAAUCUCAUUUAUAAAACCUAUAUGCCA